GAUGAACGCUGGCGGCGUGCCUAAUACAUGCAGGUCGAGCGAACAGACGAGGAGCUUGCUCCUCUGACGUUAGCGGCGGACGGGCGAGUAACACGUGGAUAACCUACCUAUAAGACUGGGAUAACUUCGGGAAACCGGAGCUAAUACCGGAGAAUAUAUUGAACCGCAUGGUUCAAUAGUGAAAGACGGUUUUGCUGUCACUUAUAGAUGGAUCCGCGCCGCAUUAGCUAGUUGGUAAGGUAACGGCUUACCAAGGCAACGAUGCGUAGCCGACCUGAGAGGGUGAUCGGCCACACUGGAACUGAGACACGGUCCAGACUCCUACGGGAGGCAGCAGUAGGGAAUCUUCCGCAAUGGGCGAAAGCUUGACGGAGCAACGCCGCGUGAGUGAUGAAGGUCUUCGGAUCGUAAAACUCUGUUAUUAGGGAAGAACAAAUGUGUAAGUAACUAUGCACGUCUUGACGGUACCUAAUCAGAAAGCCACGGCUAACUACGUG
RNAcentral lists this ribosomal RNA (497 nucleotides) under uncultured bacterium. Its description in RNAcentral is "partial 16S ribosomal RNA". It matches the Rfam family "Bacterial small subunit ribosomal RNA", at positions 28 to 507 of the family's 1533-position model. The record is from RNAcentral.